AUGGCGGCCGCUGCGGGGUCGUACGGCAAGCUCCACAAGUCAUUCAAGCUUGCCGCUCGCUCCAUACUCACCGCCUUCUCCCGCGAGGAUCUUAACAAUGCUUUCCCAUCAUUCACUGAUGCUGAAAGGGAGCGCCUGUACCAAAUGUUCAUCUAUGUGAUCAAGUCUUUGCAUGGCAACAUUGUGGAGGAGUUCCGAAAUGUGUGCGACGAAAUAGAAAUUGCUACUGCCCUUGACAAGGUAGAUCAGUUUGUUGAAGAACAAACUCUGGAUGUUUUAUCUUCAGACAAGACUAGCAUUGAAGACAUCAAAGAAAGGAUAUCAAAGGAGAAGAAGGAUGAAAUUGAACGUUUAAAAGGUUUACUAGAGAAGACUCAAGAAAGGAACAAUGCCAUGAAGGCCCGAAUCGAACCCUUGAAGCAAGGGGAGGAUUUCAAUGACACAAGAGAUGUUCUCACGAAGCUGAAGCAAUGGAAUUCUGCGUGUCAGAGCUACGAUGACCAUUGA
Molecule: ribosomal RNA, 507 nt
Filed under: Triticum aestivum (bread wheat)
Lineage: Eukaryota; Viridiplantae; Streptophyta; Magnoliopsida; Poales; Poaceae
Description: partial small subunit ribosomal RNA
Source: RNAcentral